RNAcentral lists this ribosomal RNA (454 nucleotides) under uncultured Pseudoflavonifractor sp. RNAcentral describes it as "partial 16S ribosomal RNA". It matches the Rfam family "Bacterial small subunit ribosomal RNA", at positions 341 to 792 of the family's 1533-position model. Lineage: Bacteria; Bacillati; Bacillota; Clostridia; Eubacteriales; Oscillospiraceae. The record is from RNAcentral.
ACGGGAGGCAGCAGUGAGGAAUAUUGGUCAAUGGGCGGAAGCCUGAACCAGCCAAGUCGCGUGAAGGAUGAAGGUAUUAUGUAUUGUAAACUUCUUUAGACGCAGAGAAAUAAGAGGCUCGUGAGCCUUGAUGCUAGUAUGCGUAGAAUAAGGAUCGGCUAACUACGUGCCAGCAGCCGCGGUAAUACGUAGGGAGCAAGCGUUAUCCGGAUUUACUGGGUGUAAAGGGCGUGUAGGCGGGACAUCAAGUCAGAUGUGAAAGCACGAGGCUCAACUUCGUGUCUGCAUUUGAAACUGACGUUCUUGAGUGUUGGAGAGGCUAACGGAACUCCUAGUGUAGCGGUGAAAUGCGUAGAUAUUAGGAAGAACACCAGUGGCGAAGGCGGUUAGCUGGACAAUAACUGACGCUGAGGCGCGAAAGCGUGGGUAGCAAACAGGAUUAGAUACCCUGGUA